RNAcentral lists this long non-coding RNA (209 nucleotides) under Elaeis guineensis (African oil palm). Its description in RNAcentral is "long non-coding RNA (EGUI_LNC009697)". Lineage: Eukaryota; Viridiplantae; Streptophyta; Magnoliopsida; Arecales; Arecaceae. The record is from RNAcentral.
CCCAGCUCAAGGAUAAAGAAGUUCAGUCCUCAUCCAAAGUCUCUUCAUCACUAUUUUCAGGCUAGAAGGAUUGAAGCUCCAAAUACAGCAUCAUCCGCAGCAGACGGACCUUGCAGUUCUCAAAACCGUUGAUAAAUUCAUCGAUGACAAUGUCGAUGGCCUUCUUCUUAAACUUUGCAGAAUCUUGGUACUCCUGAAAGUAGGUCUGA